This 478-nucleotide ribosomal RNA is filed under the name uncultured bacterium. Its description in RNAcentral is "partial 16S ribosomal RNA". It matches the Rfam family "Bacterial small subunit ribosomal RNA", at positions 28 to 523 of the family's 1533-position model. The record is from RNAcentral.
GACGAACGCUGGCGGCGUGCUUAACACAUGCAAGUCGAACGGUAAGGCCCUUCGGGGUACACGAGUGGCGAACGGGUGAGUAACACGUGGGUGAUCUGCCCUGCACUUCGGGAUAAGCCUGGGAAACUGGGUCUAAUACCGGAUAGGACUCCGGACUGCAUGGUCUGGGGUGGAAAGCUUUUGCGGUGUGGGAUGGGCCCGCGGCCUAUCAGCUUGUUGGUGGGGUGAUGGCCUACCAAGGCAACGACGGGUAGCCGGCCUGAGAGGGUGACCGGCCACACUGGGACUGAGAUACGGCCCAGACUCCUACGGGAGGCAGCAGUGGGGAAUAUUGCACAAUGGGCGCAAGCCUGAUGCAGCGACGCCGCGUGAGGGAUGACGGCCUUCGGGUUGUAAACCUCUUUCAGCACAGACGAAGCGCAAGUGACGGUAUGUGCAGAAGAAGGACCGGCCAACUACGUGCCAGCAGCCGCAGUAA